ACUCCUACGGGAGGCAGCAGUGGGGAAUAUUGCACAAUGGGCGCAAGCCUGAUGCAGCCAUGCCGCGUGUAUGAAGAAGGCCUUCGGGUUGUAAAGUACUUUCAGCGGGGAGGAAGGCGAUAAGGUUAAUAACCUUGUUGAUUGACGUUACCCGCAGAAGAAGCACCGGCUAACUCCGUGCCAGCAGCCGCGGUAAUACGGAGGGUGCAAGCGUUAAUCGGAAUUACUGGGCGUAAAGCGCACGCAGGCGGUCUGUCAAGUCGGAUGUGAAAUCCCCGGGCUCAACCUGGGAACUGCAUUCGAAACUGGCAGGCUAGAGUCUUGUAGAGGGGGGUAGAAUUCCAGGUGUAGCGGUGAAAUGCGUAGAGAUCUGGAGGAAUACCGGUGGCGAAGGCGGCCCCCUGGACAAAGACUGACGCUCAGGUGCGAAAGCGUGGGGAGCAAACAGGAUUAGAUACCCUAGUAGUCCCAUGAU
RNAcentral lists this ribosomal RNA (475 nucleotides) under uncultured organism. RNAcentral's name for it is "partial 16S ribosomal RNA". It matches the Rfam family "Bacterial small subunit ribosomal RNA", at positions 335 to 801 of the family's 1533-position model. The record is from RNAcentral.